RNAcentral lists this small RNA (101 nucleotides) under Arabidopsis thaliana (thale cress). RNAcentral describes it as "ATSL214740". The record is from RNAcentral. Lineage: Eukaryota; Viridiplantae; Streptophyta; Magnoliopsida; Brassicales; Brassicaceae.
GUGUUAUUGAAGACUACAAAAGAAUUGUAAGGAUAUAGAGGAUACACAACACAAUGAUUUUGUCUAGAACGCGCCAAACAAACUUUUUUACUUAUUCUUAU